UACUGAUUACAUCUUAUGUAACAUGCAAUUCAGAUUUAAAAUAAUUUUAUAUCUAAAUUUUAUCCUAUUAUAAUAAAUUAUAAAUUAUUUUAGAUCUAAUCUAAAUAUAUUUAUUAUAAAAUAAUAUAUAAAUAUUUAUUCACUUUUUUUCUUCAUGAAAAUGGAUCACAAUGACAUCUCUACACGUCAUAAAAGAACC
RNAcentral lists this long non-coding RNA (199 nucleotides) under Elaeis guineensis (African oil palm). RNAcentral describes it as "long non-coding RNA (EGUI_LNC068716)". The record is from RNAcentral. Lineage: Eukaryota; Viridiplantae; Streptophyta; Magnoliopsida; Arecales; Arecaceae.